GGGAAAUACAUCUUGAUCAGUGGCUUUCAACCUUUCCAGACUACUGUAUCCCUUUCAGGAGUCUGAUUUGUCUUGCGUACCCCCAAGUUUCACCUCACUUAAAAACUGCUUGCUUAGGAAAUCAGACAUAAAACUACAAAAUGGUCACAGCAUACAACACUAUUACUGAAAAAUUGCUGACUUUCUCAUUUUUACCUUACAGUUAUAAAAUAAAUCAAUUGGAAUAAAUAUAUUGCACUUACAU
Dermochelys coriacea (leatherback sea turtle) is the source of this 244-nucleotide long non-coding RNA. RefSeq lists it as uncharacterized. The transcript has 3 exons. NCBI's taxonomy places the organism in Eukaryota, Metazoa, Chordata, Testudines, Dermochelyidae. The record is from RefSeq and is a predicted model, not a curated record.